CCCCCCUUUAAUCAUCUUCAACAAAACCAGAAGAAGCAGCGAACAAAAUUCAGUCGCAUAACACAACCCUUUUGGGGGAGCUUCUUCUUCAAAACAUGACUUAAUCAGACCGAUACACCAUAAGCAACACAAAGACAACUGUUUCCCUCAUCUGAAAAUAAUAUCAAUCAGCCGUGAAAAUUGGUUUUUGUUUUUGGUUCCUUAAGAACAGACAAACUUUUCGUUCCUUCACCUCUCACAAAGAUAAUACCAAAGUUUCUGAAUCUUCAGCUCAAAUCUCGAACUCCUGUUGUUACUGCUUUUUUGUGACUUCGCUUCUUUCCGUGGCUACUAAUUUCAAGCUCAGGCCUGCGCCGUAGGUACAUCCAUCGGAACCUGUUGACUUCAGUUGGUUCGAGAAACUCCGGCUACCUCCAUUAACACCGACAAUAGCUCAGGCCUGCGCUGUAGGUACAUCCAUCGGAACCUGUUGACUUCAGUUGGUUCGAGAAACUCCGGCUACCUCCAUUAACACCGACGAAAUUGCUGAGGUUUUCCGGUCAGGGUCAUGUUGGCGUUUCCCCUCCCGAUUCUGUUAUUCGAUUCCAGCUUUUCUUAGCUCAAGGGUUAUUGUUAUUGUAUAAUGCUCGGCUUGGAUUUCUCUUUAUUUAAUACAUUAAACAUGGCUUUCCACUAGUGAAGGUUCGUUCCCUUCUAUUUUGUCACUCUAUUAAUUUGUCAUCAAUAUGCUGAAUCUGUUCCAUAAUCGAAACUAUUGCAAUAUAAGACCAUGUAUCCGUAGUCUUAAUUUCUUUGUUUUAAUUAUUUAAUCUUGUCUUAUUUUUUAUUUCUAUUAAUUACGUUCUUGAGCAUGCAUAUAAUGUGUUUGUUUAAAGUUCUCAAUGGUGAAUCGUUUUGGUUUAGUGUUGAUUUGCUAAAUACCAG
This 924-nucleotide long non-coding RNA is filed under the name Nicotiana benthamiana. RNAcentral describes it as "long non-coding RNA (NBEN_LNC030115)". The record is from RNAcentral. Lineage: Eukaryota; Viridiplantae; Streptophyta; Magnoliopsida; Solanales; Solanaceae.